RNAcentral lists this ribosomal RNA (519 nucleotides) under Stutzerimonas stutzeri. RNAcentral describes it as "bacterial SSU rRNA". It matches the Rfam family "Bacterial small subunit ribosomal RNA", at positions 37 to 537 of the family's 1533-position model. Lineage: Bacteria; Pseudomonadati; Pseudomonadota; Gammaproteobacteria; Pseudomonadales; Pseudomonadaceae. The record is from RNAcentral.
GCGAAAUGGCGGCGGCCUACACAUGCAAGUCGAGCGGAUGUAGUGAGAGCUUGCUCCAUGAUUCAGCGGCGGACGGGUGAGUAAUGCCUAGGAAUCUGCCUGGUAGUGGGGGACAACGUUUCGAAAGGAACGCUAAUACCGCAUACGUCCUACGGGAGAAAGUGGGGGAUCUUCGGACCUCACGCUAUCAGAUGAGCCUAGGUCGGAUUAGCUAGUUGGUGAGGUAAAGGCUCACCAAGGCGACGAUCCGUAACUGGUCUGAGAGGAUGAUCAGUCACACUGGAACUGAGACACGGUCCAGACUCCUACGGGAGGCAGCAGUGGGGAAUAUUGGACAAUGGGCGAAAGCCUGAUCCAGCCAUGCCGCGUGUGUGAAGAAGGUCUUCGGAUUGUAAAGCACUUUAAGUUGGGAGGAAGGGCAGUAAGUUAAUACCUUGCUGUUUUGACGUUACAAACAAAAUAAGCACCGGCUAGCGUGGUGCGAGCACCCGCCCCGCCACGAAGGGUGCAAGCGUUUAU